UACACUAAAGUCUCUCUUGAAACUCACACAAAACACACUCUUCACAUACCCUUCACACACUAGUCAUUAUUCUCUCAAGAAAAACUCUUUUUCUCCCUCUUUCUUUCUUCAAUUCGGCCAGCCAAGAACAAGGGUGAAACAAAGCUAAAAUCCAUCUAAACACUUGUUAAUAAUAAGGGUUUAAGUUAGGUGAAGCAAGGGUUUGAUUAGGCUAAGGUUUAAGGGUUGUUUUGAGGUUGAAACGAGGGUUAUUGGAGGUUUUUUGGGUCACGAAAAUCUGCACUUUUUCUUCAACAAAAACUUGUUCUUCAAGGGUUUAGAGCCGUAAGUUAGCUAAUGGACCGCCUCUGGAUGUUGCAUUUGUUUGUUGCUUGAUGGCUUGUAAUGCAAACAAUUAUCUUUUAAAUUUGGAUUUGGAUUAUGUAAUGGUUUAUCGACAAUUUAAUUUGAACUAUGUAACCUCUUGAUUGGGAUGAUUUUAAGACUUUAAUUAUGAUGUUUUCCAUUUAA
Molecule: long non-coding RNA, 510 nt
Organism: Erigeron canadensis
Lineage: Eukaryota; Viridiplantae; Streptophyta; Magnoliopsida; Asterales; Asteraceae
Exons: 2
Source: RefSeq, a predicted model, not a curated record